This is a long non-coding RNA of Labeo rohita (rohu), 400 nucleotides long. RefSeq lists it as uncharacterized. The transcript is spliced from 2 exons. The record is from RefSeq and is a predicted model, not a curated record. Lineage: Eukaryota; Metazoa; Chordata; Actinopteri; Cypriniformes; Cyprinidae.
GUAAUUAAUUACCCCACACCUGCCAGAGAUUAGCCUAGCAAACAAGAAGCUGCACCACCAAAGAGAGAAGUCAGUUUUGAACGCGGGAAUUUCUGGUUCAGAGCUGUUGGAGGUCAUGAGGAGUUGGCAGGAGAAGCAGGGGAGCGUCUUAUGAUGAGGGAGGCAACCGCUGAACGCUGAACCCUCAUUCGCCUCUGACCUUUUUCUGGACGCAGUGAAGUGCACUGUUUGCUGCUGUAAUGCACCUUUGAGUUCUUGGUCCUGUCUGAUUAAACCAGCUUGGACCCAUUCUUGGGGUAAUGCUUUGGGCUGUUAGCUUAAACAAAUGCAUUUUGUUAAAGAAUGAUCACUGCAGAUUGUAAAUAUAAGGUGUGUGUACACAAUAAAAGGAUAAACUUGA